Taeniopygia guttata (zebra finch) is the source of this 4889-nucleotide long non-coding RNA. The record is from Ensembl. NCBI's taxonomy places the organism in Eukaryota, Metazoa, Chordata, Aves, Passeriformes, Estrildidae.
AGACACUGGACACACCCGGGACACGCUCGGGACACACCCGGGACACGCUCGGGACACACCCGGGUCACGCCCCCGCCCCUCGGGAAACGCCCCAGGACACCCCCACGCCCCCAGACACGCCCCCCCAGUCCCUCACAGCCCCCGGCCCCUCACGGAUCCCGGUCCCUCACACCCCCGGCCCCUCACGGAUCCUGGUCCCGCACAGCUCCCGGCCCCUCACAGCCCCCGGUUCUGGUGCUCCCGCCCCUCAGCUCUCACCAAACGGGUAAAUAAAUACAGGCGAGCCGUGAGUACCUGCGACAGGGAACGCCUAAGGAAACCCAUCCGAUGGACAAGCUGCUCGCACCACUCCUGUGCAGGAGAAGCUUGACGGGAAGAAGUUCCCAGUAAAUUGUCCAACUGUUUUCCUGUAAAGAGGAAACACCUGAACUGGGCAGACCUGUGAGCAUUUCAGUUACCAAGAACAGUUUGCUGUGCAGUCCAUGCUGUCACAUUUUACAAAGUCCUCACCCACCAACACUGAGUUCACUGAAUUGCUCUAACGCUGAUUAGCACGAGGCAGCACACAGCACCGUCGUGGUCUCCAGCUCUCCAGUCUCUGCAGGCCAGCUCCCAGUGGGUAUCUGUGCUUGUGUCACGUGUGUACAAGGAGUAUCUCUACAGCUCCAUUUGAAGGCAUUUUGAGCUGUGUGAAAUCCUGGUCUGAUGAAUCAUAAUAUCACCUGCAAUGCACAGAACACUACAUGAAGAACACCACCAUUAAGCGAAAGGCAGGACCCACAGUGAGAUGACUUUUGCCUGUAAUGAUGCUAGGUUUGGAGUUUCAGUGCUAUUGCUGUGGCAGCCUAAGGCAAUUACAGAUGUUGCCUUAACAAACACCCCUUUCCUGCAUAGACCCAUUCCCUGGAUGAGUGCAGUGCCUGUGGAAGGCUGUCACUGAAGCCAAUUAUAGAAAAAUAUUGAGAAGUCUGUAAAGGUGUCUGGCAAGUGAGAAAUAAAUCCCACCUGUCACUUCUUACUCAAUCCCGCUAGCAAAUCAUAAUCCUCAGUCAUCACCACCUCGGAGCUUGUAGCACGGGAAGGAUCUAGGUACGAAGAGCAAGGAUUGCACGUCACUCUGGGGACUGUGAUUAGCCCAAGCCUUAGGUAAAGGAGCCUGGCUGUGUCAGUUCAGUCAAUACUGCAAAGCCACUGUGCAUGGCCGGCACACGCUGUCCGUGCCCACCGGCGCUCCGCUGCCACAGCGGCUCAGCGGGGCGAGCCCCGAGGAUGAAUUACGGCUGCUCCCGCAGACAGGGUGAAGCUUUCGGGCCAGGCUGAGCUCAUCGGCCAGACGCCGCAGAGGAGCCAUCUGCCCAGAACACAAAGAGAAGGCAAGCGCUUCAGUAAACAGAGGUUUUGCAAGAAAUGACAACCUUCUCAAGGGCGGGACAAACACACACGGCUCUCAGCCACAGGACUGCAUUGACAGCAGUGUGUUUGACCUCUGUGAGGGAAAGGCGCUGCCUGUGUCUGCUGAGCACUGCCUGAGCAGGGCAUAAGGGACACUCACGGGGUCCCUCAGCUCCCCCCGGCUCGUUCUUUCCUUCAGUCCCCUUCAGAGAAUUCCCCUCACCUGGGUGCAUUACCAAUACUUGGUUUUGGAAAGGCUGCAAGAUACAAACUACCAAAUACAACAUUAUGAUACUUGGGCCACUAGUUGCUGCCUGUGUUAUGUCUCUCAGCCCUGGAGAAAUAUUAAGACAGCAGAAAAUACCUAGAAUCUGACCUAAUUAGAAGUUGGAUUUAAUUCCCUUAAGACAUAGGUCUGUCAGUGCAUUGCCACAAGAAUAUUCAGAAUAGCAAAGCCUUCCCCUGCUCAUUUAAGUAUACAAAUGCCUUAUUUUGGUCAUAGAUUAAGCAUUUCUCAUGGGUACAAUUCUACCUUGGACUGGAACGAAAACCAAUUUCAGAGGAAUUUAUUAACAUUUUGAGGCUCUCUGAAGGUCAUAUGUAAUCAAGAUUUGAGGCAAAAAGAAGGGGAUGCUUGUUUAAAGCAAACAGAAAUCUGAUUAGCCUUGAAACCCUUCAAGCUACUGAGGCCAAAGUCUUUCCUAGUAGGCAAAGAAGGUUUCUGAUGUAAGCUAGGGCAACCUCUUCCAAGACUGAUAUGCAGAAGGUGCAGGUUCAUCUGAGUGUUUCCAGGUCUCAUGCCAAUGACUGGAAACAAUUUUAAGACUUCAAAAACUUUAGAACAAAACCAACCCAAAAAAAUUCAGUCAAAAGAUUUAGAGCCACAGAUGCUGAAGCCAUAUGACUUUAGGAGGUACUUAGUUGUCAUUAGAAACAUCUCAUCCACAUGAUUGCUCACAAUCAAGUAGUCCAAUUUCAGAUAAGAAAAAAAAGCUCCAAAUCUGUUGCCUUUUAAAUUCAAUCUGCUGGGUUUGGUUGCUGGUUUUUGUGUACAUGGAAUUGGCAGAAUGAGGAAGGAGUGAACUCAAUCAGUAGGUCUUCUAUUUUCAUCUGAAUGCUCAAAGAAUUGUCAUCACCAACUGUAAAGUCUAAAUGCCACUAAGAUAAGAUUUACAAUGUGGAUGAAUUAGGAACCUCUUUUUCUCAAAGUUGUGGUAUGUUCAAUCCAUGUCCAGAAGACACUGAUUGCAUUUUUUCUCACUUUUUUCCUCAAAAUGCAAAAGUUUUGAUUUUCCAUGGGAUGUAAAAUCAAACAUCCCUUCACUCCUGACCUACAUUUGCUGCAGGUCAUUCAAUUAUGAAUGAAAAUGCCACUUUGUUUAUACUAGUUGAAUUUAUGACAGAGAUUAAGUUACGGAAUUUGUUCUCCUGGCAUCUUAUUAAUACAGCUCUGCUGGAAAAUUCCUCAGGCAACAGGCAAAAUAAUGACUUAAAACUGCAAUGAGAUAAUUACCUAACAGUGCAGGCAUUUUGAAGAUAGACGUAACUCUGGAUUUGAAAAUACAUUUUUUAGGACCUUAUCCUUUAUAUAAAAGGGUGUGAAAUACUUACAAUUACUUUAAUUUAUGUUCAUGACAUUUUGGUUUCGAUCUAAUCAACUCCAAGUACAUUAAAGAAAAUUUUGUCAUUAUUCAAUAUCAGGAUUUUAGCUAUUCACAGCAAUUUUCUUAACUUUUAAUUUUGAAAAGGUAAAUCUUCAAAUCCUGGUAAAAUUAACUUUGUGCCAUGAUGAAACACUUUGAUCUAUACAGUGCCUUUAUUGCAUCUGGCAUGCCAAGAUGCUUUGAUGAAUGAAAAAAAAAUGAGCAAAUUCAGCACUUCCCAUCGACUUCCAGCUGACAGGCAGUUGUACAUGUGCUGAAGAGCCAACUCCUCACUGAUGCAAAGCCAUGGAGGAGGAUUCCUCUGAAGCAUCUCUAAAGCAGAUGUCAUAAACUACAUCUAAAUCUUAAGUGGACACAAAUAAUUAAUUUAUUUGAUUUAGCUCCCUCCCCUUUCAAAUGGAAGUAAACAAAACAUCUCUCUCCUUAGUGAUAAUUCACACAGUUCAGGAUCAUGAACUUUCCUAAAUGUCCUUUUAUAGGCAACACCUAAUGUAGAAACAGCACAAGAGAUUAAUCCACAAGAGUGGAGUGGGUUAAACUCCUGGGAAAAGAUCUCUAAUAUAGUCCUUUUCCCCCUGGUCAGCUCUGCAAGCCAAGCCAGAGGGGACACCCUGCUUUCUCUACACAUGGAUCCAGUUCCUCACUGGCCUGGUUAUUCACUGUCAUAAAAGAGGACCCCAUUAAUAUGGGAACACUUACUGAUGAAGAUGCACAAGCCCACAGAAACAGGAAAGCCUACUCUCUGGUGAUCCAGGAACACAAAGCAAGACAACUUCAACCAACCAGGCAGCCUGGAGAAAAUUUUCCAUAUUCUUCUUAUUCCAAUUCUCAAGUUGAAAGAUUCUAGACAUGUGAGGUGCUUAACUUUGUCAUUUCCCACACAGCUCCAAAACAGGCAUGACUUAUUCGGACACUUAUGGUGAGAGCUCACACUGGUGUUUUCAGAGAAACAUCACUCUUGUGUCUUUUCUCCUCUGUAAGCAGAGCAAGACUACUGUCAGGAUCCAGUCAGGACAGCCUUUCACAAAUGAAAAACAUCAAUCAAACAGGCACCAAAGGAAGCCCAUACAGGUAUUUCUGCUUGGACACCAACACAUGGGAGAUGGCAACCCAGCAAAUGGAAACAGAAACAAAAAUCAAUUGCCUCCUGAAAGUGUUUUCUGCCUCUUUUGCAAAGACCUGCAGACUUUGAAACUAAAGGCUAUUUGGGAACAUACAUCCCCAUUCCCCUUAUAGCUGGUCUUGAUGAUGAUUUCUGAGAGAAUCUAAGCAUCACAUUUAGAGAGCAUGAUUACAGAUUACUGUAAUAAAUGUGAAAACAUUGGAGUUUGUCCCUGAUUCUGUCAUUGCUCUCCUGGUAUACUUUUUUAACAAAUACUAUUAGCAAUUUCUGAGAAUAAAUGUAAAAGUUCCACACAACCAAAAUAAUUCUCUAUCAAGUGAGUGUAAAGAAAGGUGAAAGCAUUGUCUUGGAGCAAGAAGACUGCAGUAUUCCCCUGUAGCCUCCUAGCACAAUCCUCCACUCUGAAAAGAUUUCAGAUGCUCAAAAGCCAUUACAGAGCCCAUCCAGACAGGAUUUACAGGGGUUUAAUUCCUUAUGCACUCCAGAUGUUGUUCGGAGUGUAACAGUUUACAAAAGCUAGCAAACAUUGUCCUUCCAGGCAAAAACACCCAUAAUGCCUGUAACAUUUAGCUAAAGUCAGACAUAUUAAAGAAAUGAUGACAUAUGGAUAUAUUAAAACAAACAGUUUGUAAUUUGUCGUUACUGCCUUGGAAUGAAAGUUCUGGAUUUGCAUAGGGACAGUGAUUAGAUGCUAACACACAUACAAAACU